This is a long non-coding RNA of Onthophagus taurus, 339 nucleotides long. RefSeq lists it as uncharacterized. Lineage: Eukaryota; Metazoa; Arthropoda; Insecta; Coleoptera; Scarabaeidae. The record is from RefSeq and is a predicted model, not a curated record.
UGUUUCGUUCUUUUAUGCGCUAUAGAAAUUUCGUUAGCCGAUCUGGCUAUAGAAGAUGCUCCGGCAAGCCGUAAGUUAGUAGCCAAAGGUUUUAGCUGUUUUAAAGUAGCAAUCGGUCCAAUGAGAGAUGGUCAGGUCUUUGAUAAUUAUAGCCAAGAAAUUUGCGGAACAGUUACAUGUAAUACUGGAUAUUUAACGUAUGAAACCUGUUCUCGGUAUGUUGAUGAGGGUCAACCUAUGAAUCCAGAAGAUCCAUCAAAACCUUUUCCAGAAUGUUGUAAUUAUCCAUUCUAAUUUAUUGAAAUUUACUGAAUAAAGAAAACUUAUUGCAACGAAAAA